Molecule: ribosomal RNA, 460 nt
Filed under: uncultured bacterium
Lineage: Bacteria
Description: partial 16S ribosomal RNA
Rfam family: Bacterial small subunit ribosomal RNA
Source: RNAcentral
CCUACGGGAGGCAGCAGUGAGGAAUAUUGGUCAAUGGACGAGAGUCUGAACCAGCCAAGUAGCGUGAAGGAUGACUGCCCUAUGGGUUGUAAACUUCUUUUAUAUGGGAAUAAAACGUUCCACGUGUGGGAUUUUGUAUGUACCAUAUGAAUAAGGAUCGGCUAACUCCGUGCCAGCAGCCGCGGUAAUACGGAGGAUCCGAGCGUUAUCCGGAGUUAUUGGGUUUAAAGGGAGCGUAGGUGGAUUGUUAAGUCAGUUGUGAAAGUUUGCGGCUCAACCGUAAAAUUGCAGUUGAAACUGGCAGUCUUGAGUACAGUAGAGGUGGGCGGAAUUCGUGGUGUAGCGGUGAAAUGCUUAGAUAUCACGAAGAACUCCGAUUGCGAAGGCAGUUCACUGGACUGCAACUGACACUGAGGCUCGAAAGUGUGGGUAUCAAACAGGAUUAGAUACCCUAGUAGUC